UCUCUCUCUCUCUCUCUCACCAGCAAUUCCCUUCCAGCCAGACUUGGCCUCCUCCAGCCCCGCACUGCCCCUCGCACAUCAACGAUGAUGAUCUGGAUGCACAUUGCAAGGAGGCCUCAAAUUAUUUUUUACUGCACUAUAGUAGAUGAGCUAAGUAUAUCAUGUAGUUAUGUCUGUAAACCAUGUUCUAUACAUGAUUUAGCUUUCCAUAUUCAACUCCCCAAAAAGUAAAAGCUCAGCUUUAUUCGAUUAUUUUCUUAUGUUUAAUGCAUCAAUUUUCUUUGCAGUACAACUAUAAGGUCUUCUUGUAGGUCUGAUCACGACAAAUGAAUGCGAUUGGUUAAUGUUACAUUUAGUUCCGAUGUCCUGGCCAAGUCAUGCCAUUAGGAUGUCCAGGCAUAUAUGACAAAAAACUUCCUCUUCGAUCUGAAAUGGUUUAUCCAGAAGGGAGUUGUGUUGGCUGGUGGUUGUUGAUACAAGAAUGUGGAACUCUAUAGGCUUCACAUCACAGAAGGCAUGCUAAUGCAUUUGCAUUAGUGGUCUACUAUUGCGCUUUGCCACUUUCUUCUUAUCAUUCGUUAGUUAUGGUUUCAAGCUGCUCAAGUAUGAUGUUGAGCAUGAGCAUGCUCUGAUGCUUGAGUGGUUGAUACCAUCAGGGCAUAAAUCCGAUGGAUGGACUCUCCAGCAAUCCCAUGAGAUGGACAUGUGAGCUGCAUUUGACCGUUGAUUGUUGAUCUUUGUCAAAAACCCAAACUGAAACCCUAUAACAGUUAAUUCAUAUGGUUAGAGUUAACUUUUCGAUGCCUUGAAAAUCAUGUAAUUACUUUAAUUUUGAAAGUGUGCAUGACAAGCAUGGCACUGUAUUAUAUGUACAGGUAGAAUGCUAAGAAUUAUAGUAGAAAAUUAGAUUUUAGUAGUUAAGUUAAAGUUCAUUGAAAUAUGUUAACG
This is a long non-coding RNA of Lolium rigidum, 948 nucleotides long. RefSeq lists it as uncharacterized. The record is from RefSeq and is a predicted model, not a curated record. NCBI's taxonomy places the organism in Eukaryota, Viridiplantae, Streptophyta, Magnoliopsida, Poales, Poaceae. The transcript is spliced from 3 exons.